Molecule: non-coding RNA, 93 nt
Filed under: [Clostridium] aminophilum
Lineage: Bacteria; Bacillati; Bacillota; Clostridia; Lachnospirales; Lachnospiraceae
Description: Clostridium aminophilum c-di-GMP-I riboswitch aptamer
Rfam family: c-di-GMP-I riboswitch aptamer
About the family: GEMM was predicted in a large-scale screen for bacterial structured RNA regulatory elements. Genes associated with GEMM are involved in a diverse array of functions, including chemotaxis regulation, signal transduction, secretion and chitin.
Source: Rfam by way of RNAcentral
UAAUAACGAUGGCAAAGCCCAUGAAAAUGGGUGACGCAAAACUAUAGGGACUAAAGAUUACUCGUUAUUGAUCAAUGUCAGCCAGUUACCGAA